CCUGGUGGGAGCUUUCCCCUUUUGAGUCCCUGGCUCCAUUGAGAUAAAAAGAUCAGCAAAAGAACACCAGCCAAGAGGAUCAAAGUGGAAGCUUGCUGUUAAGCAGUUACCAUCCUGCAUCCUGCCUCUGUGGAUGAAUACUUAAACAAGAACUACCUAUUCUUCAAAAGUGUGACUGGUUUGCCUUUUCCAUUGUUAGAGUCAGUUCCUUUGCUGAUAUAAUCACAGGACUCUUGAUGUGUACAAUAAUAAUAUUAAUAAUAAUAAAGUUUGACACUUUCUA
This is a long non-coding RNA of Sarcophilus harrisii (Tasmanian devil), 283 nucleotides long. RefSeq lists it as uncharacterized. The record is from RefSeq and is a predicted model, not a curated record. NCBI's taxonomy places the organism in Eukaryota, Metazoa, Chordata, Mammalia, Dasyuromorphia, Dasyuridae. The transcript has 2 exons.